AGAGUUUGAUCAUGGCUCAGAUUGAACGCUGGCGGCAGGCCUAACACAUGCAAGUCGAGCGGAAACGAGUUAUCAGAACCUUCGGGGAACGAUAACGGCGUCGAGCGGCGGACGGGUGAGUAAUGCCUAGGAAAUUGCCCUGAUGUGGGGGAUAACCAUUGGAAACGAUGGCUAAUACCGCAUGAUGCCUACGGGCCAAAGAGGGGGACCUUCGGGCCUCUCGCGUCAGGAUAUGCCUAGGUGGGAUUAGCUAGUUGGUGAGGUAAGGGCUCACCAAGGCGACGAUCCCUAGCUGGUCUGAGAGGAUGAUCAGCCACACUGGAACUGAGACACGGUCCAGACUCCUACGGGAGGCAGCAGUGGGGAAUAUUGCACAAUGGGCGCAAGCCUGAUGCAGCCAUGCCGCGUGUGUGAAGAAGGCCUUCGGGUUGUAAAGCACUUUCAGUCGUGAGGAAGGUAGUGUAGUUAAUAGCUGCAUUAUUUGACGUUAGCGACAGAAGAAGCACCGGCUAACUCCGUGCCAGCAGCCGCGGUAAUACGGAGGGUGCGAGCGUUAAUCGGAAUUACUGGGCGUAAAGCGCAUGCAGGUGGUUUGUUAAGUCAGAUGUGAAAGCCCGGGGCUCAACCUCGGAAUUGCAUUUGAAACUGGCAGACUAGAGUACUGUAGAGGGGGGUAGAAUUUCAGGUGUAGCGGUGAAAUGCGUAGAGAUCUGAAGGAAUACCGGUGGCGAAGGCGGCCCCCUGGACAGAUACUGACACUCAGAUGCGAAAGCGUGGGGAGCAAACAGGAUUAGAUACCCUGGUAGUCCACGCCGUAAACGAUGUCUACUUGGAGGUUGUGGCCUUGAGCCGUGGCUUUCGGAGCUAACGCGUUAAGUAGACCGCCUGGGGAGUACGGUCGCAAGAUUAAAACUCAAAUGAAUUGACGGGGCCCGCACAAGCGGUGGAGCAUGUGGUUUAAUU
This 963-nucleotide ribosomal RNA is filed under the name Vibrio parahaemolyticus. RNAcentral's name for it is "bacterial SSU rRNA". It matches the Rfam family "Bacterial small subunit ribosomal RNA", at positions 8 to 951 of the family's 1533-position model. Lineage: Bacteria; Pseudomonadati; Pseudomonadota; Gammaproteobacteria; Vibrionales; Vibrionaceae. The record is from RNAcentral.